CCACUACCACCUCCUAUCCUCAAGCAUGGUAGACCAUUUGCCUUCAAUGCCCACUACAUUGUAAGGCAAGACAAGAAUGGCAAAGUCAAGAUUAACUUCAUGGGGCUACCCAGCAAGCAAAGGCCAAAGAAGAUUUGGGUGCCAAAGUCACUAGUGGAGAAGGUUAAGGGCCCUAAGCAAAUGUGGGUCCGCAAAAAUCAAGCUUUAUCUCUUGUGUGUGUAGGUGAACUACAAGACCGGUGGAUCAAAUUGGAUAAUUGAUAGUGGUUGCAUUCAACAUAUGACCGGAGAUCCCUGAAUAUUCACCUCACUCAAUGAAGAUGUGGACAAUCAAGAGAAGAUCACAUUUGGUGCAAUUCUAAAGGCAAAGUCAAGGGUUUGGGAAGAUUGCUAUAUCCAAUGAUAACUCCAUCACCAAUGUGCUCUGUGUGUCAUCUCUUAGUUUCAACUUGCUCUCUGUUGGAUAACUUUGUGAUCUUGGCUUCCAAUGUCUAUUCACCAAGAAAGAAGUGAUAAUGACCAAAGAGGAUGACAAUGAGAUGGUAUUCAAAGGCUUUCGCUACAACAAUCUAUAUCUUGUUGAUUUCUCCUCCGAAGAUGUAAACAUCAACACAUGUCUAUUCACCAAGACUUCACUUGGUUGGUUAUGGCAUAGAAGGCUAGCUCAUGUUGGAAUGGGCACACUCAAGAAGUUGAUGAAGAAGGAAAUGAUAAGAGUCUUGAAGGAUGUUACAUUUAAGGACAAAUUGUGUAGUGCAUGUCAAGUCGGCAAGCAAGUAGCAAAUACACAUACCAAGGCUUUUCUCUCUACCUCUAGAGUUCUUGAGCUUUUGCACAUGGAUUUAUUUGGACCUACUACAUAUGCUAGCCUUGGUGGUAACAAAUAUUGCUUGGUUAUAGUGGAUGAUUAUUCUUGAUACACAUGUACAUUCUUCUUGCAAGAUAAGGCCGAAGUUGCAUCAAUAUUCAAGAAGUUUGCAAAGAAUGCUCAAAAUCAAUUUGAGGUCAAGAUGAAGAAGAUUAGGAGUGACAAUGGCAAAGAGUUUGACAACACCAUCAUUGAAGAGUAUUGUGAUGAAGUUGGAAUCAAACAUGAGUUCUCCUCAACAUACACACCGCAACAAAAUGGGGUUGUAGAAAGAAAGAUCCGGGCAUUGAUCACCUUGGCAAGAACUAUGCUUGAUGAAUACAACACUCUGAGGAAAAUGUGGGCUGAGGCAAUCAACACCGCAUGCUAUGCUUCAAACCGACUCUUUCCUCAUAAGUUCCUAGAGAAGACACCAUAUGAGUUCCUCAAUGGGAAGAAGCGCGAUGUCUCAUUCUGUAGAGUGUUUGGGUGCAAAUGUUAUAUCUACAAGAAGCGCCAACACUUGGGAAAAUUCCAAAGAAGAUGUGAUAUUGGUUACUUGGUUGGCUAUUCAUCAAAGUCAAAGGCAUAUAGAGUCUUUAAUCAUGCCACAAACAUGGUUGAAGAAACAUUUGAUAUGGAAUUUGAUGAAACUAAUGGCUCCCAAGGAGCAAGUGAUAAUCUUGAUGAUGUAGGUGGUGAACCAUUGAGGGAGGCCAUGAAGAACAUUUCGGUGGGGGACAUCAAGCCCAAAGAGGAUGAUGAUGAAGUGCAAAUCCUUGAUGUGCCAUCCUCCUCACAUGUGCCCACAAGAUGAUGACAAGGAUGUGAGGGACACUCAUGAAGACACACAAGUCACUCAUGAACAAGUGGUGGCACAACCACAAGAUGUUGAUGCUCCCCAACCGACUCCUCAAGUGGUGCCAAGAAGAUCAUCACAUCUCCUCCAAGAUCACUCUCAAGAUCUCAUCAUCAGGAGUCCAUCAUGUGGUGUUACUACUCGUUCUAGACAUGCUUUAUUUAUUGAACAUCAUGCUUUUGUGUCUUUUGAAGAUAAACCCAAAACCAUAGAGGAAGCUCUUCGAGAUGCGGAUUGGAUCAUUGCCAUGAAAGAGGAGUUGAACAACUUCUCUCGCAACUAAGUGUGGACACUUGAAGAGCGACCUAAAGAUGCAAGAGUGUUUGGAACAAAGUGGGUCUUCCGGAACAACAAAGAUGAUCAAGGCAAGGUGGUGCGCAACAAGGCAAGACUUAUGGCGAAAGCGACAAGUGGAGGUUCUUGACUUCAGUGAAACCUUUGCAUCGGUUGCAAGACUUGAAGCUAUACAUAUCCUACUUGCAUAUGCUUCUAGCCAUAAUAUCAAAUUAUUUCAAAUGGAUGUGAAAAGUGCCUUUCUAAAUGGUUAUAUUAAUGAGCUUGUCUAUGUUGAGCAACCUCCCGGUUUUGAAGAUCCUAGGUACCCCAAGCAUGUCUAUCGGUUGUCCAAGGUGCUCUACGGUCUCAAACAAGCUCCUAGAGCUUGGUAUGAGAGGCCAAGGGACUUCCUUAUGGCAAAGGGCUUGAAGAUUGGGAAAGUUGACAUGACACUAUUCACCAAGAAGAUGAAUAGGGAAAUCUUCAUUUGCCAAGUAUAUAUUGAUGAUAUUAUUUUUGGCUCAACUAAUGAAGAUUUUUGCAAGGAAUUUGGUGAUUUGAUGUCCAAGGAGUUUGAGAUGUCCAUGAUUGGCGAGCUAUCCUUCUUCCUUAGGUUUCAAGUCAAGCAAAUGAAGGAAGGGGUCUUCAUCUCUCAAGAGAAGUACACUCAAGAUCUUCUCAAGAGAUUCAAGAUGCAAGAUUGCAAGCAAAUCAAGACUCCCAUGGCAUCAAAUGGGCAUCUUGACUUGGAUGAGGGAGGUAACCCAAUUGAUAAAACUCUCUAUCGGUCUAUGAUAGGUAGUUUACUUUACCUCACUGCAUCUAGGCCUGAUAUCAUGUUUAGUGUGUGUAUGUGUGCUAGAUAUCAAGCUAUGUCUAUGGAAUCUCACUUGAUUGUCGUCAAGAGAAUUCUUAGGUAUCUAAAUUACACGCCCUACCUAGGUUUAUGGUAUCCCAAAGGUGCAAGAUUCCAACUUGUAGGCUAUUCUGAUUCGGAUUAUGCUGGGUGCCGCAUUGACAGAAAUAGCACAUCCGGAGGGUGUCACCUUAUGAUGGAUGUCAAAGAAACAAAAUAGUGUUGCAUUGUCAACACUGAAGUGGAAUACAUUGCCGUCGGUGCUUGUUGUGCACAAAUACUUUAUAUGAAACAAACUUUGCUAGACUAUGGAGUAGUUCUAGGUAAAGUACCUUUGUUGUGUGACAAUAUAAGUGCCAUAAAACUUGCAAACAAUCCGGUACAACACACCCGCACUAAGCACAUAGCCAUCCAUCAUCACUUCCUUAGAGAUCAUGUCGCCAAAGGUGACAUAUCACUAGAGAAUGUGGGGACAAAAAAUCAAUUGGCGGAUAUCUUCACAAAACCACUAGAUGAAGCUAGGUUUUAUAUGUUACGAAAUGAACUCAAUGUGCUCGAUCUCUCUAACUUCACUAAAAAAUGAGUUUGUGUGUUGUUCUUGUACAUAGCUUUUGUAUCAUAUGUCAGGCUAAACUAAAAAUCCAAAAAGAUUAUGUGUAGGGCUUGUCUAACAUGGUUAAGAUAAUCGCCCAUAAAGCAUGUGAAAAAGCUUAACCUUGGAUCAAACUUGACAAGCAGUAGUUUACUUUCAAGUAAUGCAUUGCAUUGCAUAGCAUAUGCAUGUUUGUUUCUUAGUCGUUUCUUUUCGGUUAAGCUUUGAGCAUCAGCUGUGUUCAUCCAUUGAUAAGGGGAGCAUUCAACGCCCAUCUUGAUUAAGACCCCUAGCCAAUGGCCACAUGAUGUCUCCUCGGUGUUUUCUCUUGCCUAUUUUCAUAAAAACUACUUAGCCUAUGGCAAAUUAUUUGUGGAAAUUUGAGGGUUUGAGAGAUGUUACUCAUACCAGUUCCAAUUUGUGUUUAUUUGGCUCUUCUUUGUGUUGGAACUUGGUUGAGUGAAAGAGUCACGAAGUCUCGUUGAAAAUCCAAGGCUGGUGGUGCACCGGACUCUGCAGCGGACGCUGCACUAGACGCGCCUCAUGCAUCCGAUGAGUUGUUUAUGCUAGGGUGCACACAUCAGACCCACGCAUAGUAACAUGAGCGCAUCCAGCAUGGUGCGUUUGGUGUGACCCUAUUGCGACGUCUAUAGCAUCGGAUGCAAGGUGAGUGUCCGGUGACCUACGUCUAGUGGUCCCAUGAGUUUUACAAACUCUCUGCGUACAGGUCCGGUGCCCACAUAAGUGUGUCUGGUGUGACCGUGCGUGGCCUGUAUAAAUCUAAAUUGGACUCGCUUGAGGGCAUCCUCUCAUCUUCACAUUCACAUCUCGCUGAGCCACGCUGCCUCUCGCUGAACUCGCCGCAUUCUCGCCACCACCGCCGCAACGUUGCCCCAGCUGAUCCCUUCCCGCAUGUAGUCCCUCUCUCUACCACCGUUAAGUUUCACUUCCCUGCCCAUGGUGCCAGCUACCUUCCUCAUCGCGCAGUUAGGGUUUGGGUAAGCUUUUGCCUUCAUGCACGCGAGGUGUUCGACAGAAUUCCUGAACCGAUCGAAAUGAUGUUCUAACGUCGUUCUUCAUUCGAUUCUUCUUUACAGAGCCUUGGCAUGUGUUUCUUGGCAUCCUGUGGUUGUUGGAUCUCAUCUUAUCUUUAGGAAUAUCUCUCACCCAAUGUAGUAAGCCAUUUUCUUCUCGAUCUCUUAUCCAAUGCUUGCUUCCAUUAGGGCUUCGCUUCUCUAGAUGUAAUACUUGCUUACAUAUAUAUCCCAUCUAUUUCAUCUAUUACAGCGGGUGAGUCACUUUUGGCCAAUUGUCAGUGGCAGUAGAACUCAGGGCCAAGCCCACGAGUACGGAUUGAGGCCAAGCCUCACGAGUGUCAGUUCACCAUCUUUCUCAUGAGCAGUUUGGUAGUGUUGAUCUGAGAUCUAGUAAUGGCACGUUGCAAGAAUGUCGGUGGUGCUCCAGCUAGUUCUCCAGCAGGUGCCCAUGUGGUGAUUGGGGUGAUGAUAGACCCUGUCGUCUCACAGCUACAGAGAAAGGCAAGAAAGUUGUGAGUAAGAAAAGGAAGAUCACUGAUAGGGACACCGAGACAGCUAGGGCAGUAGGAGCCGCAGCUGAGGCAGUAGAGGCAGGUGGUCGUAGAGGCAUUCUUUAGAUUGGGUCUGAGCUUUCACCUGCACAGAGGCGUGCAGUUCUUCAGGUGGAGCAGCAACAUGGUACAGUUCCAGGCACAGUUAUCAUUGGAGGACGUCAUGUCCAUCUUUUGGAGAGAGAGAGUCUGGGACAGAGACUCAGGGGCCUCAUAGGCACACGCAGCUAGAGGAGCAGCUACUUAGGCAGUCGACUCGCGCUCGUACAUAGGCCACCACUAGGCCUGCUAUGCAGUGAUAGUUGUUGGCAGAUCUUAACGCGCACCGACUGGUGUAAGAUGUGACAAUUAUCUAGCAAUGGUGGCGCCUAACUAGCACUGCUUAAAUGCAAGCCUGAGCUGUUACUAGGAUAGGUUGUCAGGCUACUCUGAGCGACGGCUCUAGAAAUGCUAAGCAACGCUAAACUCUAGUGGUGACGCAAGAUGUACCAAGGGUAACUCUGCAAGCGCACAGGUACCGCUGUAGCACUUCAACCGUAGUGAGUAUCCGCGGUGUCGUAAUUUAUAGUUCACUCACGGGAAGCGGACUAAGACUCUCUAAUAAACAUAUUGGUGGAUAUCCGUGGUUUGUGUCUACUCAAUCUAAGUUCACUAGUGCUAACAGGGGGGUAAGAGUAGCAAGAUAGAAUAAUAGAUAAAUCAGAUAAAGGUAAGUAAAGAUAACUAAUAGCGAGCUAGCUAGGUGGGAGGACAACGAGUGAGUAAGGACUCCUAUGUAUCUAACUCUACUUCUGUGUUCUAAUCCUAAUCAAUGUAAAUGACUCAACUAGACUAGUAUCCAAACAGUCUUGUGUGGUGGAAGUCGACUGCAAUAGGAGGAUGAAACUCCUAUCCAAGCAGACUUUUGACUUAUGGGCGCCUAUAGACCGUACCCGACGUGAAUAGAACCUACUGGGAAGCAGAGGCCUGUCAUGCUUCGCCGCCGCUCACUAACACGUUUGAUAUGGUGGCAUCCACUAAUAAGCGCUAGCCUAUGCACCUCGCUUACAUUAGUCUUAUAACUUCAACUAUCACGUAAAUAGCCAAAACCCCUAAUGGUAGUGAAACACACACAAGGUGUUGAAGACACUAAUCUAACUAAGGCAGCUACACUAAUAAGACUAAGACACAACACUACUACAAGUAUAGUAAUGCACUAAGCAAUACUCAAAGUAAAGAGUUGAAGUAAGUACUUAGUAAAGUAAAGAAAGGCUAUAUUGAGAUAAAGAAUGUAAUACAAGAGAAAAGGUACAAGAGCUAUACUAGACUCUUCAGAAGAUAGCUCCGGAGACCCGAGCUUCGCUCGACUCGACUCUAACUCCCACUCUAGACUAGACUACACUACACUUGAUCUCCCAAGUGUGAUUUGGAAAUGAAAUAUGGAGAUGAGAGAUGGAAGAUGUCUUGGGAAGGUGGAGGAGCCCUCCUUAUAUAGGGGUGAGAGAGGGGGUACCACGUCAGCGAUCCGCAUGCUCCUUCCUUCUCCACCCUUGGAUGCACCGACCUCCCAACCAUCUUAGAUGGACGGUUGGGGCACUACCACACUUGGUAAAUGUGACGAAGGUUGGUGGGAGUGAACCGACUCCAAAUGGGGCCCACCUGUAGGUCGGCCGACCUGCCAUCUAGAUGAUAGUGGGUCGCACUGACCUUUUGGAAGGUCCUUAGGUCGGUGGGAGGCUGGGCUAGGUGGCAUGACCCAAUUGGUCGGUCGACCGACCGACCUUUGGGGCUCGUGGCCCACCACUGGCCUCCUGGUGGUGUUCCCACUUGUCAUGUGAAGUGUUAUCCAAAGUUGAGUCUAGUUGCACACUUUCUUGCUUCCAUGUGGGCCCAAGGAUCCAUGUGCUAAGUGUUUGAACCGUUGAGGGCAAGCACACUUGGAUCCAAGGGUUGGGAUUGACUCCUUGGAGUAUGCCAUGGCUCAUGCCAUGGAGGGGAGCCCCUGGUGGGCCCAAACCAUGGUUGGCCGACUGAGGUUAUGGGUCCCAUAGGGCUCAUUUCCUUCUUCCCUGCAUUGAACAAGCUAAGAGUACAAGUGGAAAUUUAUUAGUGAUAAAUAUGUUCAUGUGAUGCUUAUCUUCCUUCAAUCGAGGACUGUUGAUGGGCUUUUGAGUAUAUAGAACUAGGUCUUAUUUUCCGUCAACAAUAGUCACAGCCCCUACCUAGCUCCUCACCACCACCUAGCUCCUCACCGCCUCUAGCUCGUCACGUGGACUACACCAAAGCCGCCACACGAUAGGUUCAGGAGUUGAGGUUUGCAGCUUUCCUCACUUGGUUUCCUACCACUCAAGAUGAGAGAGUGUUGACGGUCCUUAAGUAUCAAAUUUAAUUAUCAAAUAAAUAAAGAAAAGGAUCCAAAUGAAAUCAACAUCUAGACUUAGGGUUUUAUCUGACAGAAUUCCACGAGUUUUGGUGUUUGUCUAUUUCUGCAGGGGGUUAUCAGGAAAUAUGAAAGAAAGGCCCACAUGUCAGGAUUACGUAAAGAUAUUAACGUGCUGCGCAAUUAUCUUACAUCUAGAAGACUCCAGAAGCCACGAGACCGAAGCGGAGGCGAAACGGGGCCAGAGGCAGGGCGCCCGCCCUGUCCUACUGGGCGCCCGCCCCCUCCAGGAGUCCAAUCAGGACUCUACUUUGCGGGAGAUCUCCACCGACCUAAAGGAUGAAUCUAAACCAUACAAUCUAUGUCGGUUUGAUCCAAUGGCCCAUAUUCACUUGAAGGGACUAUAAAACCAGACCCCCUGGCCCCUAGAGGAGAGAGCCUCUCAACCCUAAUUCAUUGUUCCAUCAAGGGAGAAGAAGCCUCUGAUCAAGAUUAGAGCCACCACAUCAAUUAGAUAUCUAGAUUAGCAUAGCUACAUAGGAUUAGAACUAGAAGGAGUCAAUCUUCGAUUGGUUUCCGGAUCUGUCAAGAGGAUUCUUGGUAAUUCUCUAAUUGUGCUUCUAAUUGCUUUCUAAUUAUCUUUGUUCUUCAAUAUUAUGAAUAUGACUUUGUUCUACUUCAAUAUAUUGCUUAUGACUUUGCUCUACUUGCUUAUAUUCAAGAUUAUAUUGUUCUUAGUUUAUCAUAGUUAUGUACUUGGCUUAGUUAGAUUGGAUCUAUAUACAUGCUUAGGAUCGUAUAGCGUUUAUCCAUCGGAUCCAUGGGUAAAUGAUAGAUAUUGUGUAGGCGUGGUGCUUAUACCGUAUUUAUCUGCGAUUGUACCCAAUAUGCCAAAUCGUGGGGUGGUUCGUGAUAGUGACAGCUUCAUUGAUUCUUAUAUAGUCCCCCUCUCGUGUAUUGGGCUGGCAGAGCAACAUUAUUACAGGGGAGUGAUUGCUAUGUUUCUCAUAUUCCUUGCUAAUAUCACUAUGCAUGGGCGUAGUCUUGUCUCACAAUGAUUGCUAAGUAUGCUUGCACUAACUAUGAUAAUGCUAGACUAUAUAGUUGAUAAUAACUUAGGGAAUAUUCUUGUAGUUCGUUCUAAUACCGUGCUAAUGACUUUCUAGUGUAUCUAAUUGAGGUGUUUAUCAUAUUUAUUAUGUGGCUAGAUCAGAUUAGUUAUCCUUGUCACUAUUAUUAUUUCAUAUAUCUUUUAUGUGACACUUAUCCCUGUAUGAGAAGUUAGAUAUAAUGUUCUCAAUUAUACAUGCAAUGAUAGAUGCUCAAUCUCAUAUUCUAUUCUGUAAUCAUUAGUGAUGAUUUCUAAUCCCUUCCCAGUGGUAAAAAUAUUAAAUAACGAUACCUAGAAUACUUCCCGGUUAAAAUGCUACAUCGGUAUUAAUCUGUGCGCUUGCAGAUCCAAUUCAUUAUUUAUUUAGAAGAGCAAUUGCAUAUUUCAAUACCGCGUCUCUUAUAUCAUGCUGGGGAUGACAACUUGGCUUAAGUGGUGUGAGGGAUAGGUUUGACAUUUUUGGCACCGUUACUAAAUUUAGAGAACUUAGUCUACUUUUGGUAAUGAUGUUAAGAAUACCCAACAAGCAUUUUUGGCGCCGUUGCCGGGGAAGGUUGAUUACUAAUCAGGAAUGGAAUAAAAGAUUUUGAGUUAUCAUUCGCAUCACUAAUAUGAUUGAGCUUAUCUAUUCUCUCAUACAGUUUUACCCCGAUAUUUUUCUAUUUUAUCUUAUGCAGGGGAAUGUAUGAAUAGAAGACAUCUUCCAGGAAAUUUUGUUGAUAAUCCCGAAGCAUUAUUCAAGAAGAAGAGAGCAAAGCUCAAGAAGAGAUCAUCAACAUUUCAGCAAGAAGCUUUAUCCAAUCAAGAAGAUCACCGGAACUUGUCUUCAGAGUUUGAGGCCAUGGCGAACAAAUCAAUCCGUGAGUUCUCAGCUCCCACUACGGACAACAUCCGCACUGGACCUGCUGCAGAGAUCGAUGGCAACUUUGAGCUCAAGCCUGGACUUAUCAACAUGGUGCAAUCCAACCAGUUCUGUGGGAAGGCACACGAAGAUGCUAGUGCUCAUUUACAACACUUCCUGGAGAUUUGCAACACAUUCACCAUAGCAGGAGUUUCCAAAGACGCUAUACUACUUCGCCUCUUCCCAUUCUCACUGUUAGGAAGAGCGAAGCAGUGGUUCUACGCUACAAAGGAGAAGAAUACUACGUGGGCACUCUGCUCAACAAACUUUCUGGCUAAGUUCUUUCCUAUGGGCAAGACCAAUGCUCUCCGUGGGAAGAUUACAAGUUUUCAGCAACAAAAUGAUGAAUCUGUUCCAGAAGCAUGGGAGUGCUUUCAAGACUACAUCCUAGAAUGUCCCCAUCAUGGAAUGGAGAGUUGGCUACUGAUGCAGACAUUCUAUCAUGGGCUCAGCAACAGUGCCCGAGAGACCAUGGAUGCUGCAGCUGGAGGAGCAUUCUUAUCACUUACUAUACCACAAGCCACAGCUCUUGUGGAGAAGAUGGCGUCCAACCAAAGCUAGAAUGAAGAGAGGACCCAGACACGCAAGAGAGGUGGAGGUAUACAUCAGCUGAAGGAGGUAGACAUGCUGUCUGCAAAGCUAGACCUGCUCAUGAAGAAGCUCGAUGAUAGAGCUGGAGACAAGAAAGAAGUUAUGCACAUCUACGACUCUCACAUGACUUGUGAGGAGUGUGGAGACACUGGACACUCAGGCAACCACUGCCCUGAGAUACUUGAGGAUGUGAACUACAUCAACAACAACUACUACUACUACUACAACCGUCCUCAACAAAAUCAAGGUUGGAAUCAACAGAGGCCUAACUACUCAGGUAAUUAUCAAGGUAACAAUUCUUACAACAAUAAUAAUAAUUUCCCACCUUUGAGGGAGUUAGUGUCUAAUCAAGGAAAGCUAGUGGAUAACCUAUCCAAGAAAUUGGCAUCUAAUGAUAAAAUGCUAGAAAAUAUAAAUAAUAGAAUGGAUAAUUUUUCUACUGCCAUCAAGAAUCAAAUUAGCUGUAAUAAAAUGAUUGAAUCUCAGUUAAAUCAAAUAGCUGCUGCUGUUCCUACUACUAACCCCGGUAUACCAUUACAACCGGAAGGAUUAGAAUCUGUAAAUCUUGUAGACAUGUUUGAUGCAGGUAAUUGGAGUAACCUCAUCAAUGAAUUCUCUACUGACCUUCUGCCGGUCAAGAGAGGCGAUCCAGGACGCCCCGUCAUCCCGAUCUCCAUCGGCAUGGUGGACGUUCCAGAAGCACUAUGCGACUUUGGCUCUAGUGUCAACAUUAUACCCAGGGUACUUUAUGAAAAAUUCUUUACAUAUCCUUUAUUAGAAACAACCAUGUGUUUGCAGUUUGCAGAUCAGACGAUAACUUUUCCAAAAGGAAUAGUGAAGAACCUUUGUGUCCGAGUUGGUACCUUAUAUGCCCCAGCAGACUUCGUAGUGGUAGAGACCGGAAAUGAUGAGAGAGCACCUAUCAUCCUAGGGAGGCCAUUUUUGAACACCACGGGAGCUAUCAUCUACGCCAGUGCUGCCAAGAUCAGUUUCUACGUCAAAGGGAAGAAGGAGACAUUUUUCUUCAAGAACAAGACUACACAAAUUCAAGAUCAAUCCAGACGUAAAUCAAGGAAGAGGACCAACAGGAAAAACAGGAACAAGCAAGUGUGGACCGAGUCAGCUAAGAUGGUCACUGUAGUCCAUGGAGGCCAAGAUCACCAACUUAAGUCACCGUCUUUGACAAAGAAGGACGACCCAGGAAUGCCAAGCAUUUACUGCUCCAUAAAUGGAUACAACUUCUACAAGACGAUUUGCGACACCGGAUCAGGCGUCAACAUAAUGGCCGCAGUCACCUAUCGGCUCUUGUUCGGAACCAUGCCACUAAGACCAACAUACAUUCAGCUUCAGAUGGCAGAUCAGACAUUUCGAGAAGUCAAAGGAAUAGUAUCUGAUGUCCCAGUCAAAAUAGACGAUCACUUUGUCUACACAGACUUUCAAGUUAUUGACAUGGGAGAAGACGAGUAUGAUCCACCCAUCAUCCUUGGAAGACCGUUCCUCAGCACCGUUAAAGCAAUUAUCUACAUUGGAACCGGAGAAGUCCAUAUGCACUUCCCCUCAGAGAAGGUACGCCGUUAUUUUACUGACCCUAACUAUAUCGUUGAAGAAUCUAAGCAGGUCAGAAAGAGACGCAACCGCAACCAGAGGAGGCAGAUCAUCAAGGACGGAUGGGCAGACUAUGAAGGAGAAGUUAUAAGGUCAGAAGACGUAGAGUUUAAACAGAAUUAUCCAGAGGAGAUUAAAGCACCAAGUCAGGUAUGGAAAAUGAAGAUAACUAUACAAGAAGAGGAGGCGCUGCCGGAAGCACCGACUACGCCACCCAACGAACCUCAGGACAAUUGAGAAAAUGGAGAGUCCCGUUCGGAGGACUUAAAAACACCGAACGCCUUGCCAAGAGGUAAACUUGGUAGUUAUCCUUUCCCUUUCAAUUAUUUCAAAUAGUUACUUAGUUAAUUAAGUUCAUACUAUCUUAAAAAGAAAAUAAAAAUGUGAAAAAUAGUAAGCCCCAUGUGAGUAGACGAGUUGCAUAAAACCCAUAAGUACAUUCACUGUGGUGGCAUAAAAAUAAAAUAAAUAUUUUUCUGCUUUAUAAACAAAAAUAUAAAAACAGGGAGUAAUAUUUUCUAAGGAGUCUCAACAUGAAAAAGGCUAGAUAUUUAUGCUAACACUUAAUCAGUUCCACAAGCUUUGUUGUCUAUUUGAGCUCCACAGAAUUUAAGAAUCAAGAAGACUAGCAGACGGAGGACAUUCUAAUCGCUGUCAGAAUGCUGCCGACUUUCAAAUACACCUCCGCCACCUGUUAGCUACAUCAAGAGAAAUUACGUCAAAAUUCAGCUUGGGGGAGAGCACCCCCAUUUAUCCCGAUAAGUAUUUCUAUCUAUCUUUAUACUUAUACUAUAUUAGAAUAUUAAAAUACAAAAACUAGGAAAAACCAAAUAAAGAUUUUAUGCUUAUAUAUAUAUAUAUAUAUAUGUCUUUUUGCUUAGUGUGUUUAAUAAAUAAAUAAAGUGACUAUGUUAAUCUGUAUCUAAAUAAAACUUAAGCAUGGAUAUGAUAAAUAGUUGCUCUGCCUAAUUUGUAAAUUUUAAGUUCUCUCUCAAGUUUAGAUAUAACUGUUAUAAUUGAAAGCUUGCUCUAGACCUAAACUUGUGGGAUGAAAACUUGAUCUGAAGUCUAAGUUGUUAACGGAUAUGAUAUGGGAAGGUUGAGCUGCUGUUUAUCUGUUCCUAGAGAUGCUAGAAUUCUGGAGAAUUUUAUCUUUAAAAAUCUUUAAAAUGUUGCAUGAUGAGUUCCUGUAUGAUGAGAGUUUAAAUUCCUACCACAGCCAUAUAUGCAUGCUUGCUAGACUUUGAGCCACACAUUUAUUUACUGCUUAUGAGCAUUGAGUGUGGUCAAGCUGUGUUGACCCUUAGGAGCUUGUCAUGUGGUUAAAUCAAGAUUUCACUUGCACGUUCACUCAUAUAUGCUACUUCUACUCCGGAAGUACCAUCCACAUAUAUUCACCCAUUCCAUCUCCAGAAUUACCCAAAAAUAUUCUACUCCUAAUCUGGGAGAGAAUAACCAAAAAUAUUUCUGUUUUCCCCUUGUGAAAUAAAUGCUCAAGUUAUCUUGUUACUACCACUUGCUAUAUUAUCUCAAGAGAUGAAUGCUCUGGAAAAAAAAGAAGAAAAAAAAGAAAAAAAAUAUACGAGGAAAUAAAAAGGAGCAAGUGCUCGGAACCUCGAAAGAAAAGAAAAGUGAGACGAGAGGUAAAAAUGGACAAGUGUCCGACAGUAGAAUUAGGGGUACAAGAUACCCACCUGAGAGAAAAGAAAAAUAUAGAGCAUCUCAUUCUCCUCAUAAAGUUUCAAAAAGCAAGGAAGGUAUGUAACCCCUCAAAAGAGCAAAAGUAGAAUUAGACUUCCACCUCCAUUGUUUUCACCAUUGUUAUCACCAUCAUCACCAUACACCAUUCAUUCGCCACACAUGCACAUCUUGAUUAAACUUAUUGACUUGUUACUUUAGAUCCAUGGUUUGACUAUGCAAUAAAUGUCUUGUAAGUAUGUAUACUUUAUCUCCCACCUAUGAGCUCCAGAUAUUAAAGCCUUAUUAGAGUAGGAUGAGAGAGUAGGCAAUGUCACUAUGCCUCAUACCACAAAUACCACAUAUCUUGAGAGAAGGCAUAUACCAUCACUGCCUUGGUAAGGAUCCAAAAAUACCACAAAAGAGAGACCUGAGAGAAUCAUACAAGGAAUUUCUGAGUUUUAUUUGAAAAUCUGCAAAAACCCUAGAGUUAUAGCUGAUCAAGAAUAAGAGACAUGGCACUUGGCUAGACUGUUCUAUCUUUUAACCACUCAAGACAGAAGUGACGGUUACAAGUCCCAUGGUGAAGGUAAAGUAAGUAAGUUUUAAGUCUUGACAGUUUACUCUAACUCAGAGAUGAGGUCUUAUUUAAAAGCAUGUGUACCGUCAAUUUUUUUAAAUAUUGCAACAACUUAUGAUCCAUAGCUGAGUCUAUCCUUGCUCAGGGACGAGCAAGAGGUAAGCUUGGGGGAGCUUGUUGAUGGUCCUUAAGUAUCAAAUUUAAUUAUCAAAUAAAUAAAGAAAAGGAUCCAAAUGAAAUCAACAUCUAGACUUAGGGUUUUAUCUCACAGAAUUCCACGAGUUUUGGUGUUUGUCUAUUUCUGCAGGGGGUUAUCAGGAAAUAUGGAAGAAAGGCCCACAUGUCGGGAUUACGUAAAGAUAUUAACGUGCUGCGCAAUUAUCUUACAUCUAGAAGACUCCAGAAGCCACGAGACCGAAGCGGAGGCGAAACGGGGCUAGAGGCAGGGCGCCCGCCCUGUCCUACUGGGCGCCCGCCCCCUCCAGGAGUCCAAUGAGGACUCUGCUUUGCGGGAGAUCUCCACCGACCUAAAGGAUGAAUCUAAACCAUACAAUCUAUGUCGGUUUGAUCCAAUGGCCCAUAUUCACUUGAAGGGACUAUAAAACCAGACCCCCUGGCCCCUAGAGGAGAGAGCCUCUCAACCCUAAUUCAUUGUUCCAUCAAGGGAGAAGAAGCCUCUGAUCAAGAUUAGAGCCACCACAUCAAUUAGAUAUCUAGAUUAGCAUAGCUACAUAGGAUUAGAACUAGAAGGAGUUAAUCUUCGAUU
RNAcentral lists this long non-coding RNA (14608 nucleotides) under Sorghum bicolor (sorghum). Its description in RNAcentral is "long non-coding RNA (SBIC_LNC009152)". The record is from RNAcentral. Lineage: Eukaryota; Viridiplantae; Streptophyta; Magnoliopsida; Poales; Poaceae.